CAGGGGCUGCUGAUGACCCACCAAUUCCAACCUGCAUUCGUCUGUUUGUUGGACCCCCCACCCAAAUAGCAGGGAUGCCAUCCAGAUUACCAUAUUAUGUUUACUUGCCAUUUCUCUUUAGACUCUUCCAGAUGGUGAGCUUCUCAAACUGUCCUUGUUUUGGUGACCUUGACAGUUUUUAGGAAGACUGGCCAGAGUCUAUGGAAGCAGAGCUUAUUCCUCGGAGCCCAGUAAGGCUCUGGGAGCCCCAGCCCCGAGUUCUGACCAUGAAGCUCUAUUUGGGUGAGUCCAGAGUUCCUAAGGCACACAGCAGGUGGUCUGGACCCUAUGGCUUGAUGAAAAUACCCACCACAAACUGUGAUGUCCCCUCCACCUACUUGGAAAAAUAUCGCGUUGCCAUCAAGCCGCCAGAAGUUGGUUACAGGGUAUCCGCUGUGCCCUCGACAGGGAAUCAACUCCAAAGCGGAAUGACAGUUGGGACAUGCUUUCUCUGCCAAGCCAGCGGGAGAGAGAAAUAUUAAUAACAACUAGGACCCCAGGUACUUUUGAAGGAAGAAAGGGAAAACAAUUCCUGGGGAAAAGGGAACUCGGGGCCACGAGCUACCCCCUGCCCGCCACCCCCCCCCGCCCCGGUCCUGGCCUGGGGUGCUCACUCUGCUGCUUCAGGCGAGCCUUGUCACAGAUGGCAGGCCGCAGCUGCAGGCGGGAGCCGUCGGGCAGGGCGCAGGCCCGAGCGCACACCACCACACCCAGGCACGACUUCUUGAGGAUGUGGCCGUUGUGGUUGUUGGUGUUGCGCAUGGCCCAGCCGCUCAGGUGGCGCUGAGCCUUCUUCUCAUCGCUGCGGUAGAUGAAGCGCACGUAGCCGUCGGGCCACUCACAGAAGUGGUCGAAGUGGGCCGGCUCCUGGGAGGGCGCACAAAAGGGAAGGAUGGGCGAGUGGAUCAAGCCCCACCCGGGCACACCACGCUUUUCAUUUUUCCCAAGCACAUUAGAAUAAAAACUGGUUCUUUUUAAUUCCAGAAGUGUCCUAAGAGCCACAAACUGUGCCAUCACAAAACAUCACCCAUCCCGUCUGUGCAUGCUGUUCUGACAACUGGCUAUUCAUUGAUGUUUAUAAAGUUCUUAUCUUCUAAAUGCUGUACGUGUCCUAGGUCAUCUAGCCUUCCCAACUCACACAGAAAAUAGGUACUAUUAUAAUCUGUAGUUAAUCCAAUAGGACACGGAGGUCAGAGAGGUCAAAUGACUUGCCCAAGGUCACACUGCUAGUAAGAACUGGCUCUAGGAUUUGAGCCCUAGCAGUUUGACUCCAGAGACUGUUUUCCUUACCAUCACGGUAGACCACUUCUGGGUACGUUUAAAUGUUAAGUUACAAAUGAAAACAUUUUCAAAUUAAGCAUCAACGUGCCAGGGCAAAAAGCGAUUGCAAUGCUCUAUCACUGAAAUGCAAUUCAGUCUGUAAAUAUCUCCACUUUGAUCCAGUGUUUUUUCUUCUAAAGCUCUUGCCUCUACCCCAAACCUGUCAGUUACAUCAGCAGUGAUACCCAGAGCAACAUUAGAGAGACAAGAACAGCUUCCCUUGCUCCUCCCAACUUAGCUCUCCCAGUUUAUAGGGGCACGGUGAUGAAGGACCUAGCUAUAAAGGUAAACCCAAGCAUGGGGUGGAACCCGCUGAGCCCUGGACCUCUCCCCAAAGCAAUGUGGAUUGUCGCUCUUCUCAACAAAGAGCCACCUGGCUGAAAUAAUAAGUUAUAUCUAAAAAACUGAGCACUCCUUCAAUAUCUAUCAUUGGUGGUCUUUGCCCAUGAUAUGCAUUAUCUAUACUGCAAUGUCUUUCUUGUACAGAAGUUUAAUAUAAAAUUGCCCUGUACUAAGCACUUAAUAUUUAGCAGGUACUCUCUAGGGCAGGGGUCAGCACACUAGGAAUCCGGGGCCCAAUCCAGCCUGUCACUUGUUUUAGGACAGUCUACGAGCUAAGAGUGACUUUUAUAUUUUUUAAUGGUUGGGGGAAAAUCCAAAGAAUUAGAUUUCAUGACAUAAUGGAAAUUAUCUAAAAUUCAAAUUUCAAGACCCAUAAAUAUGGUUGUAUUGGGACAUGGCCAAACACAUCUGUCUAAAUACUGGCUAUGGCUGUUUUCUCUCUAUGGCGGAAUUGGGCUUUUGGCACAGAGACAGCAUGGCCUGCAGAGCCCCAUUAUGGAGUCUCAGUGAUCCUCACGACAACCUUCCAUGAUGGGCACGCAUACUCUUAUUUCAUAGAUAAGGAAGUGGAAGUUAGAGAGAGAACCUUCUAGACUGGCAUACCUGGGAUUCAAACAGAUCUGUGGCAGCCAGGUUCCACUGGCUUUCCUGCUAUGGUAGAGGCUCAGAAGAAUAUUAUCACAGUCAUAAGCCAUUUGCACCUUCUCUCCCUCCCACCACCCCAGGGACAUUAGAUCGAACAUUCUCAGUCGGGUAAUUCAGGCUUGGAUACAUCAGUUAGUAUUAUGCAUUCUAACAAUAAUAGGUAAAUGGACACUUUUGUUUCUAAAACCCACAGGGAUAUUGUUGAAAUCAUUGUUAUUACUAAUAAAUAAUCAUUUAUCUUUUCUCAGAAAUAUUAUAAUUGCCAUAAAUUAAUACAUUGACUUAAGGUAAGCCACAAAUGAAAUAUAUAAUGAUGUACUAUUAACUCCCAAGUUUAUGUUAAUGCUAAUAUCUUUGUUUUUAAAGUGAACAUUUCAAUCUAAGGAUUUAGUUAGACAAUCUUCCAGAAGAGAGUAUUCCGUUAGUGUCCCCCUAUGAGGGUAGAGAAUCACCCCCCAUGUCUCAUACCUGCUACUAAAGCAGCAACACUGAAAAUGAAGCCACUGAGACCCUAUUUUUAAAUCAAAACAAAAAUGGAGGAUUCAAGGAUUGGGUUGCUUCUAUUCUAAAGCGUACAUGUACACAUUCAGACAAGCAUGCAAACACUGAACAUGACAGAAAAUCUGGCUGAUAGUUUAAGAUUGUUAUCUAGUUCAAGAUUGUUAUUUAGUUCCACCACUCGAUGACAGGUCAUCUUAGCCUGCAACUAAGGCAAAUUCAGGAACUAUCUCAAGGUCAUGCAGCCAGUUUAGCUCUUUCUCCUUCAGUCAGCUGGAGCAAGGCUAGGAUCCUGUUUCUCCACUUCUGUUUCCCAGUACACCUGCCUUUUU
Molecule: long non-coding RNA, 3176 nt
Organism: Zalophus californianus (California sea lion)
Lineage: Eukaryota; Metazoa; Chordata; Mammalia; Carnivora; Otariidae
Exons: 3
Source: RefSeq, a predicted model, not a curated record